CCGCCGGAGCACCGCCGUCGUUGUCAAGCCGAAGGUCGUCGCCGCUUCUUCCUCGUCGCCGUCGCCGUCCGUUGAGCUUCCGCCGCUGUUUUGGUCACCGGUGAGUUCGCCACGUCGCUCGCAUCAUUUUGGUGCUCUUCGUUAGCGCCGUCGUGUCAUCGUUCACCGACGAGCUUGCGCGCCCGAGCCGCCGCCGGUGAUGACGUCAUCGUCGCCAUGUCCCGUGGACCGGUCGUGGGCCGAUAGAUCCCAGCCGUUCGUUUUGGAUGGAUCGAUCUCGGCCGUUCGUUUCCGUGAGCCGCCGCCGUGCACCCGCACACGGCCCGCUACCAGCGACACUGAUUGCGCAUUACUACCCCAUGCCGACGAAAGGGAGGUGAUGGUGACGCGGUAGAUCGCCAAGUACCAGUACACCAAGAGAGGCAUCGACGAGCCGACACACAUAUACCUAAACACGCGGUCGUACAUGGAUCCCAUGAUGGAGUCGCUGAGGGAGAGGACGUCGAUGGUGUGGGAUGCGAUCAGCCUCCCUGAUGACAGCCACCUGCUGCACAUCCACAUGGCAAUAGAGCAGCUUGGUACGGGACAUUGACAAGCUGAGGGAGUGCAUGAUGGUGCGGAGCAGCGGCAGCGACGACAUGGAUGCAUGCAGGCUGGAGCGACACCUUGCCGGCGGGUGGAGGCAUGUUGUGCCGAAGCAGGAGCGCGUACGGAAGAACAUGUUCAAGGUGCAGCCCGACACUGUGACUAGGAUGUUGGUGUGGUUCCGGCCG
RNAcentral lists this small RNA (773 nucleotides) under Oryza sativa Japonica Group (Japanese rice). Its description in RNAcentral is "sRNA Os10g0320300". The record is from RNAcentral. Lineage: Eukaryota; Viridiplantae; Streptophyta; Magnoliopsida; Poales; Poaceae.